Molecule: long non-coding RNA, 3161 nt
Organism: Plodia interpunctella (Indianmeal moth)
Lineage: Eukaryota; Metazoa; Arthropoda; Insecta; Lepidoptera; Pyralidae
Exons: 5
Source: RefSeq, a predicted model, not a curated record
UCAAUCUGUGUGAUUUGUCCUAAUAUAUUUAUAUUUAUUUAUUUAUAUAGGUAAGUCAUAGACUUCAUACUAAUUCCAUGAGGUAAAGACAUUAAAUAAUGUUCUUAUAACUCUGGCUAUUGACAAUAUUGACAUCUGGCCAUAGACACAAGAAAAAUGUUGUUGAACCUGUGAAUGUGAUGAGUGGCGAUAUAUUUUAGCUUCAACUAUCGAUAUUAUUUAUCGAUUGAUUGAAGCGGUGGUGGUUUAAUGGUUAGGACGCCCGCCUGUGGAUCAAAAAGUCAGGUUCGUAUCCUACUCGUGCCAUAUGAGUUUGUAUACCAAUCUGACUGAUAUAUAUAUAGUAGUUUUCAUCGACCACCACUUGCUUCCGGUGAAGGAAAACAUAGUGAGGAAACCUGCACACUGCCGGACAGUUUAGUUCACUAGUGUGUAUGCGACUGUCUGCCGCUAGAUGGCGGUAAGUGGUCGUAAAGUCAUGCCAGAUGAGACUUGAAUAAAAUCUGACACCAGUGUUAGCAAUAACACACUCGAUAUGAUGAUGAUCGAUUAUCGAUUCACACAAUCGAAAAGCAACACUAAUGCAAAAGGAGCCCAUUAAAAGAAGCCAAACAGCCGUCAAAACUAAACGUCAUAUACACUAGCUCUGUAUAAACAGACUCAUAUAUGCAUAAAUUAUAUGUUUUUUUAAAUUAUAUUUACAUGUACAUAUAAAUCAUCAUAAAUGGAAAAUUUGUUUAAUAAAUUGCCAAACGUCGAUAAAUGUUGUUUUUUAAUACCUUUGAAAAUCGGAUGCAGUCUCAUAGCUAUAUAUUAUCUAUUGAGUGGUACAGUUGUCGGAGAGGACAUAUCGCUCGUCCGCAACCCAGGAUCACGCUCGAUCGUGUUGGCCGGGUUGAAUAACAACGCCAGCGGAUUUAAAUAUACGUGCUACGAAAGUAUACAUAGAUCAAAUUGCACCCAAUACGUUUAUCAAAGCGCUGCGGUUAAAGUAUUUCUUUUUUUCCACGAUUUCUCAUUGCGGAUUGCCAGCGCUUUGUUACUCAUUGGGAUUUAUAUUGAAUUUGUUAUGACUGUUACAGUAUUUUUAUACGUGUAUACUAUUACGUUGAUCAUUGAUAUACUGGUCAUCACUUUGCUAGUGGUAAUAGGUACUGUGAUAGGCACAUGUCCUACCACGGUAUCGAGCAAGGCUCACUGCGUGAUCACGAUUAUUGUACUAUGUAUAGUGGGCCUUUACAUCAUCAUUACAAUAAAUGGUUUAAGAACAACGCUAAUCGACCGAGCGAGCUCAGAUGACGAAGAUCAGCCAGCAUAAAAUUGAUUUGAUAGAUAGAUUUUAGGACAUUGUUUAUUCAACUGUUACAGACACAAAAUAACAGAAUAAAAGAACAGUAGGUACUUAAAAAGCACAAUACGAACAUUCGUAUGCUGCAGCAGUCAAAAUGGUCAUUGCUCAGCGACACUUUGCACUAGCGAGAGUACAGAAACGCAGAUUUUCAGUUAUAUCAAAUUGGAAAUAGGUGCGGGCGCUAAAACUUUCGUUUUGUGUGUGUCCGCUCGGUCUUCGGAGCAACCGUCACGCCACUCGCAGGCCGAAUGAUCAAUGAAAGAGGCUAGAAGACAGUCAAAUCCGUAGCACGUGACUUGACGUCCACACGACGUCUCUUUUCCCAUAUCGGGUGGGUUCUCAGAGCGUUGCGACCGCUGCAGCCGCGCUGUCAUUACGACCCGUCAAUUUCCUUGAGGAAGGAAUCAUUUCCAAAAUCAAUCUAUACUAUUAUUAUAAAGAGGACAUUGCAUUAUUAUAAGUAUGACCUGACGUUGCAGCCAGGAUAGGCAAACAAACAAACGUCCAAUUUCACAAAAAUAAUUAAAAUCGCAAACACUGAAGUUUAUAUUAUUCCGUGGACGCAUUUUAAUGAUUUCAUCACUAAUUAAACCUACGCCGAGGAUUGUAAGUAGUUGUAUUUGUGGCGUGUGGUUCCGCCCUGGAAUAGGACCACUCUAUAUGCUCCCGUACGAGGCGGCCGGUUGUAAAAUCACAGCUGAAUUUUCAAAAUUGUAAGGUUUUUUUACGCCGGGCUUCGCGGCUUCACAAGCUCGAACGCAACCGGAAACAUGCAGAUAUGAGAUUGAGACUUGCAUUUUCUGUUUCUUAAUUAUUAUGGUACCUACUAUACAAGAGUUAAUUCAUUCAUAAAAUAAAACAAUUUUUGAAAAUGUAUAAUUUAUUAAAAUAAAAAUAUUUUACCUAUAAUAUGCCGCACCUUAAAUCUAUAAUACUAAUAUACAGGGUUACUGAUAUCUAACGCAUAACCUUCCACAGGCGCAUAAGGUACAUAGAGACUAACAUAUUUUGGUCUACGACUUUUGUCUAAACGUAAUAAAUACAAACAUUUUCCUUUUUUUAGUUUUAAUGUCGUUUCUAUAAAACGUUAACUCUAUGUUAGAUUCCGCUACAUAACGCUACUGUACUGUCUCACGUUGCUUGGCUAUUACAUAGAGUUAAGAUGAGUAGAAUCGCAAAUUAGAUUGUAUUUUUAUAUGAAAAAAAAAAACUAUGUAUCACGAAUUGCUUGUUUUGAUGUACCCGAGUAGUCUUUAGGUUUUGCAUUUGAUACCAGUAGCCCUGUAUAAUCUAUAAUAUAAUCUAUUUUAAUACCUACUCUGAUAAAUUUAGAGUAACGGGCAUCCAAAUUAAAAUUAAUUGAUAACAAUCAAUGGACGUGGAGUUUAAUGGCAGUGGUUAGCGCGCUCGGCCUGUGAUAGCGGCGGUUAAGAGUAUUGUGAGAGUGCUCACAAUCAGUCUGUCAUUGGAUGGGUGACCAAAAUGAUCUUGAGCUCCCACGUGCUCCGGAAGGCACUUAUUUUAUCUGUCAGAUAACAAUUAGACAUUUUAACAGAAAGCGGUGAAACUUGGCUUUUUUAACCGUUAACUAAAUAUUUCAGAGUAUUGUACUUAUUAUAAGGCAAUUUCAAAAUAAAUAUGGAUAAUUCGCACAAAAAAGUAGGUUCGAGACUUGUGUAAUGGGAUACUAACUCAACGAUACUAUAUUGAAUAUUGAUAAUUUUUUAAAAAUAAAAUAUGUGUAGCUAUUUUGAAAUUAUCUUAUAUUAACUAAAUUAACGUUUAUUGUUAACUAAUAAAAGCAAAUUGC